UACGGUCAAAUUACGUUGAAACAACGGUUCCCGAAUGAUCACCGAAGUUAAGCAACGUCGAGCUUGGUAAGUAAUUAGCUGACCGUUUGGGAAUACCAGGAGUUGUAA
Acanthosepion pharaonis is the source of this 108-nucleotide non-coding RNA. The record is from the annotation of a GenBank genome assembly. NCBI's taxonomy places the organism in Eukaryota, Metazoa, Mollusca, Cephalopoda, Sepiida, Sepiidae.